Molecule: unclassified non-coding RNA, 392 nt
Filed under: soil metagenome
Description: partial contains 5.8S ribosomal RNA, internal transcribed spacer 2, and large subunit ribosomal RNA
Rfam family: 5.8S ribosomal RNA (bases 1-122)
Source: RNAcentral
GAUGAAGAACGUAGCGAAAUGCGAUACUUGGUGUGAAUUGCAGAAUCCCGUGAACCAUCGAGUCUUUGAACGCAAGUUGCGCCCGAAGCCACUAGGCCGAGGGCACGCCUGCCUGGGCGUCACACGCCGUUGCCCCCCCAUCUACUCCUUCGGGAUUGCGGGGGGGCGGAUGAUGGCCUCCCGUGCGCCUAGCCGCGCGGUUGGCAUAAAUACCAAGUCCUCGGCGACGCACGCCACGACAAUCGGUGGUUGCGAAACCUCGGUUGCCCGUCGUGUGCGGUCGUCGCGCAUCGAGGGCUCGAAAAAAUUGCCGGGCUCCGGCUCGGCUUUCAACGCGACCCCAGGUCAGGCGGGGUUACCCGCUGAAUUUAAGCAUAUCAAUAAGCGGAGGA